Molecule: ribosomal RNA, 470 nt
Filed under: uncultured bacterium
Lineage: Bacteria
Description: SSU rRNA
Rfam family: Bacterial small subunit ribosomal RNA
Source: RNAcentral
AGGACGAACGCUGGCGGCGUGCUUAACACAUGCAAGUGGAGCGACGAACCAGGGCUUGCCCUGGGGCAGAGCCGCGAACGGGUGAGUAACACGUGGGUUACCUGCCUCGAUGACCGGGACAACCCGAGGAAACUCGGGCUAAUACCGGAUGUGCCCGCAAGGGGAAAGGAAGCUUCGGCCUCCGCAUCGAGAUGGGCCCGCGGCCCAUUAGCUUGUUGGUGAGGUAACGGCUCACCAAGGCUUCGAUGGGUAGCUGGUCUGAGAGGACGAUCAGCCACACUGGGACUGAGACACGGCCCAGACUCCUACGGGAGGCAGCAGUGAGGAAUUUUCGGCAAUGGGGGCAACCCUGACCGAGCAACGCCGCGUGCAGGAUGACAGUCUUCGGAUUGUAAACUGCUUUUCUCGGGGACGAGGUAAGGACGGUACCCGGAGGAAGAAGCCCCGGCUAACUACGUGCCAGCAGCCGC